UCCGUGUUUACAUGGAUGGAUUUUUGGCCUUAGAGCUGGGUAAGACAUGCCUCAUUGGUUGAAGUUAAACAUAAAGUAAAAAGCAUCACAUUGCAAGGUGGUGGGUGACACGCUGAUACCCUGCCUGUAGCCCAGGUCUGCCCAACUCACUACUACUACUGAUCUACCACGCUGAUACCCUGCCUGUAGCCCAGGUCUGCCCAACUCACUACUACUACUGAUCUUCCUGUAGCCCAGGUCUGCCCAACUCACUACUACUACUGAUCUACCACGCUGAUACCCUGCCUGUAGCCCAGGUCUGCCCAACUCACUACUACUACUGAUCUACCACGCUGAUACCCUGCCUACCAUUGACUGUAGCCCAGGUAAGUCCAACCCUCUUCCUGGAGAUCUACUGUCC
Long non-coding RNA from Oncorhynchus keta (chum salmon), 400 nucleotides. RefSeq lists it as uncharacterized. The record is from RefSeq and is a predicted model, not a curated record. The transcript has 3 exons. NCBI's taxonomy places the organism in Eukaryota, Metazoa, Chordata, Actinopteri, Salmoniformes, Salmonidae.